GACGAACGCUGGCGGCGUGCUUAACACAUGCAAGUCGAGCGGUAAGGCCCUUUCGGGGGUACACGAGCGGCGAACGGGUGAGUAACACGUGGGUGACCUCGCCCUCCAGCUCUGGGAUAAGCCUGGGAAACCGGGUCUAAUACUGGAUAUGACUCCAUGACGCAUGUUGUGGGGUGGAAAGCCUUGUGCGGCUGAGGAUGGGCCCGCGGCCUAUCAGCUUGUUGGUGGGGUGAUGGCCUACCAAGGCGACGAC
This 253-nucleotide ribosomal RNA is filed under the name uncultured bacterium. RNAcentral describes it as "partial 16S ribosomal RNA". It matches the Rfam family "Bacterial small subunit ribosomal RNA", at positions 28 to 280 of the family's 1533-position model. The record is from RNAcentral.